CUCGCCUGUCCGCGUUCGCUCGUGGAAUACCUGGUACUGUGGCUUCGAAUUAUGGAGCGUGGAAGAAUUUGUUGAAAGUUGUGCUUUCGUGCGCUGGUGUUCAUCGGCAAUUCGACAGUGUUCGCGCCGGAAAGAGCGUCGUCGUGUGGUGCCUGCGAGACGAAGCCGUUUGCCGACCACAUUGAAGGUGCCUUGUGAGCUCUCACCCAAGCAACACAUUCCAGAGGUCUGCUGUGAGCAGACGUGGCAAAUUGAAGUAACAUCCAGAUAGUCCAAUAAACUGUUCGUAGUUUCAGACACA
This is a long non-coding RNA of Dermacentor andersoni, 301 nucleotides long. RefSeq lists it as uncharacterized. Lineage: Eukaryota; Metazoa; Arthropoda; Arachnida; Ixodida; Ixodidae. The record is from RefSeq and is a predicted model, not a curated record.